RNAcentral lists this ribosomal RNA (229 nucleotides) under uncultured bacterium. RNAcentral's name for it is "partial 16S ribosomal RNA". It matches the Rfam family "Bacterial small subunit ribosomal RNA", at positions 568 to 796 of the family's 1533-position model. The record is from RNAcentral.
CGCGUAGGCGGCAUGGUACGGUUUGGGUGAAAUCCCACGGCUCAACCGUGGAACGGCCUGAGCAACGGCCAUGCUAGACGGCAUCAGGGGGAGGUGGAACUCCGGGUGGAGCGGUGAAAUGCGUAGAUAUCCAGAGGAACGCCGGUGGCGAAAGCGACCUCCUGGGGUGAUCGUGACGCUGAGGCGCGAAAGCUAGGGGAGCGAACAGGAUUAGAUACCCUGGUAGUCC